MicroRNA precursor from Sorghum bicolor (sorghum), 109 nucleotides. It matches the Rfam family "MIR5565 microRNA precursor family". Lineage: Eukaryota; Viridiplantae; Streptophyta; Magnoliopsida; Poales; Poaceae. The record is from Rfam.
GUAGUCGGAUCCGCAUCAAUCCACGUGUGUUGAGGUGGCUUGAAGUGGAAAUUGAACUAAAUUCCACCUCAAUCCACUCCAACACAUGUGGAUUGAGGUGAAUCCGACA